GAUGAACGCUGGCGGCGUGCCUAAUACAUGCAAGUCGAGCGAACAGACGAGGAGCUUGCUCCUCUGACGUUAGCGGCGGACGGGUGAGUAACACGUGGAUAACCUACCUAUAAGACUGGGAUAAUUUCGGGAAACCGGAGCUAAUACCGGAUAAUAUAUUGAACCGCAUGGUUCAAUAGUGAAAGCCGGUUUUGCUGUCACUUAUAGAUGGAUCCGCGCCGCAUUAGCUAGUUGGUAAGGUAACGGCUUACCAAGGCAACGAUGCGUAGCCGACCUGAGAGGGUGAGCGGCCACACUGGAACUGAGACACGGUCCAGACUCCGACGGGAGGCAGCAGUAGGGAAUCUUCCGCAAUGGGCGAAAGCCUGACGGAGCAACGCCGCGUGAGUGAUGAAGGUCUUCGGAUCGUAAAACUCUGUUAUUAGGGAAGAACAAAUGUGUAAGUAACUACGCACGUCUUGACGGUACCUAAUCAGAAAGCCACGGCUAACUACGUG
Molecule: ribosomal RNA, 497 nt
Filed under: uncultured bacterium
Lineage: Bacteria
Description: partial 16S ribosomal RNA
Rfam family: Bacterial small subunit ribosomal RNA
Source: RNAcentral